Molecule: signal recognition particle RNA, 296 nt
Filed under: Saimiri boliviensis boliviensis (Bolivian squirrel monkey)
Lineage: Eukaryota; Metazoa; Chordata; Mammalia; Primates; Cebidae
Description: Metazoan signal recognition particle RNA (ENSSBOG00000009640.1)
Rfam family: Metazoan signal recognition particle RNA
About the family: The signal recognition particle (SRP) is a universally conserved ribonucleoprotein. It is involved in the co-translational targeting of proteins to membranes.
Source: RNAcentral
UCUGGGCGCAGUGGCACGUGCCUGUCAUCUCAGCUACUCGGGAGGCUGAGGCUGGAAAAUCGCUUGAGUCCAGUUUUGAGCUGUAGUGUGCUAUGCCGAUCAGGUGUCCACACUAAGUUCGGCAUCAAUACGGUUACCUCUCGGGAGCGGGGGACCACCAGUUUGCCUAAGGAGGGGUGAAUCGGCCCAGGUCAGAAACGGAUCAGGUCAAAACUCCCGUGCUGAUCAGUAGUGGGAUCACACCUGUGAAUAGCCACUGCACUCCAGCCUGGGCAACAUAGCAAGACCCCAUCUCU